This 1039-nucleotide ribosomal RNA is filed under the name uncultured Psychrobacter sp. RNAcentral describes it as "bacterial SSU rRNA". It matches the Rfam family "Bacterial small subunit ribosomal RNA", at positions 49 to 1112 of the family's 1533-position model. Lineage: Bacteria; Pseudomonadati; Pseudomonadota; Gammaproteobacteria; Moraxellales; Moraxellaceae. The record is from RNAcentral.
UUACACAUGCAAGUCGAGCGGAAACGAUGAUAGCUUGCUAUCAGGCGUCGAGCGGCGGACGGGUGAGUAAUACUUAGGAAUCUACCUAGUAGUGGGGGAUAGCUCGGGGAAACUCGAAUUAAUACCGCAUACGACCUACGGGAGAAAGGGGGCAACUUGUUGCUCUCGCUAUUAGAUGAGCCUAAGUCGGAUUAGCUAGAUGGUGGGGUAAAGGCCUACCAUGGCGACGAUCUGUAGCUGGUCUGAGAGGAUGAUCAGCCACACCGGGACUGAGACACGGCCCGGACUCCUACGGGAGGCAGCAGUGGGGAAUAUUGGACAAUGGGGGCAACCCUGAUCCAGCCAUGCCGCGUGUGUGAAGAAGGCCUUUUGGUUGUAAAGCACUUUAAGCAGUGAAGAAGACUCCGUGGUUAAUACCCACGGACGAUGACAUUAGCUGCAGAAUAAGCACCGGCUAACUCUGUGCCAGCAGCCGCGGUAAUACAGAGGGUGCAAGCGUUAAUCGGAAUUACUGGGCGUAAAGCGAGCGUAGGUGGCUUGAUAAGUCAGAUGUGAAAUCCCCGGGCUUAACCUGGGAACUGCAUCUGAUACUGUUAGGCUAGAAUAGGUGAGAGGAAGGUAGAAUUCCAGGUGUAGCGGUGAAAUGCGUAGAGAUCUGGAGGAAUACCGAUGGCGAAGGCAGCCUUCUGGCAUCAUAUUGACACUGAGGUUCGAAAGCGUGGGUAGCAAACAGGAUUAGAUACCCUGGUAGUCCACGCCGUAAACGAUGUCUACUAGUCGUUGGGUCCCUUGAGGACUUAGUGACGCAGCUAACGCAAUAAGUAGACCGCUGGGGGAGUACGGCCGCAAGGUUAAAACUCAAAUGAUUGACGGGGGCCCGCACAGCCGGUGGAGCAUGUGUUUAUUCGAUGCACGCGAGACUACUGUCUUGACAUAUCUAGAUCUGCAAGAUGCGGGAGUGCUCGGAUAGAAACAGGUGCUGCAUGCUGUCGUCAGCUCGUCUGGAAUGUGGUUAGUCGCACGAGCCGACCUUGUCCUA